GGUACCUUUAAAUCAGUCCCGUGAGGCUGACAAGGUAAGUCGGAAAUCCGCUGAUGGCAGGCUGGGAAUCUUUGUGUCCCUUUCUGUCGUUGUGGGUGAAAGAGGCCUCUUGUCAGGAAAUACGGCAGGAGGCCUCUUUUU
Regulatory RNA element from Brevibacillus borstelensis AK1, 141 nucleotides. It matches the Rfam family "PyrR binding site". Rfam says of the family: This family represents the PyrR binding site and terminator structure. This RNA structure is found upstream of a variety of genes involved in pyrimidine biosynthesis and transport. The alignment also includes a portion of the antiterminator structure. Lineage: Bacteria; Bacillati; Bacillota; Bacilli; Caryophanales; Paenibacillaceae. The record is from Rfam.